GGAGGUGCCGAGAAUCUGAGUUUCGGCAAGCAGCCAGGUCUGGAAACUGUGAGUGUGUGGGCUUUUCUCCGACGUCGAGCGUGGUCCUAGCGUAAACAGAUGCAUUCGCCUCUCCGGUUUCAAUCUUUUUUUACGUUUGCGCUUUCCUCAAGGCCGGUGGGUCAGGAGUGGAGCCUUAGUCAUUCUAACGCUGGAGGUGUCAGUAGGACCAACAGAGUCUGGUGCCGACACGGCUUACUGUUGCGCGCUCUUCUAGGCCUCAACUUCCUCUCAACUGUGUGGUCAGUUCAGGGCCGGGAAUCCAAUCUUUUCCGAGCUCCAUAUUUUAUCCACUUGGUGGCGUCCAGUCCCAAGUCCGGCAGUUGAAUUCUGCCCUAAAGAUGGGCUUUAUUUCUAUCUUUUUUUAGGUAACAGGACAUUCAGUUAGUAAUGAUGGUUGCAGGUUGAAUAGUCUCGCCCUAGAUCUCACCUAACUUGCAGAAUAUUUUAAAAAUGACUACACCAAACAAGACACCUCCUGGUGCUGACCCCAAGCAGUUGGAAAGGACUGGAACAGUACGGGAAAUUGGGUCACAAGCUGUUUGGUCACUCUCAUCUUGCAAACCAGGAUUUGGAGUGGAUCAGUUACGAGAUGACAAUCUAGAAACUUAUUGGCAAUCAGAUGGUUCCCAGCCUCAUUUAGUGAACAUCCAAUUCAGGUAAUUAAUACAUUUUCAAAUUUUUCAUCUACUGUAGGUUAUAGACAAAUAAAUCUAUUUUAUUAACAUAAAAAUUAAAGAUAGAAAUUACAAUGAAAUACACUUAACUUUUUAAAC
This 815-nucleotide long non-coding RNA is filed under the name Homo sapiens (human). Its description in RNAcentral is "non-protein coding lnc-OTUD4-5:5". The record is from RNAcentral. Lineage: Eukaryota; Metazoa; Chordata; Mammalia; Primates; Hominidae.